Molecule: long non-coding RNA, 385 nt
Filed under: Mytilus galloprovincialis (Mediterranean mussel)
Lineage: Eukaryota; Metazoa; Mollusca; Bivalvia; Mytilida; Mytilidae
Source: RNAcentral
UCCACACGCACCAUUGCUUGCGCUGCUUUUACAAGCAGCACUAUGUUCCACCUCCAUUGCUUCCUGUUCAUUAGAUGAUGUUAAAUCAAUAACACGAUUCUAAAAAGAAAAAGAAAAUAAAUAAACAGUUAAGAUAAUGUUUACGGUGAGGCGUCCGUUUGGCUGUGCGGGAUGUGUUAAGUUCGCAGUCACGUCCGGUCAGAUUGGUGACGUUAAAUUCGAUGCCUCGUGUAAAGAAAGUGCCACGCUCUUUGCACGUUAAGAACUCUUGCAACAACUCUUUGAGGGGUCCGUAGGUGGCCUGUUGCAAGGCAAAAUUUCUGUCCCUGUCCAAUAUACCCUCAUUUUCCAGUGCCAGUCCAAAUUUCCCCGACCAUCAUCCCAG